Long non-coding RNA from Orcinus orca (killer whale), 240 nucleotides. RefSeq lists it as uncharacterized. The record is from RefSeq and is a predicted model, not a curated record. NCBI's taxonomy places the organism in Eukaryota, Metazoa, Chordata, Mammalia, Artiodactyla, Delphinidae. The transcript has 2 exons.
AGAUUCUAAAUCAGCUGGUACUGUUUUAGUAUAAUACAUGGAAUGAUGGAGAGAAUGCAACAUCUAUAGAUUACUGUAUACAGAGCUGUGGAGAAGAUCCGGUUGCCCUGGGUGAUGUCGAUCUGCAUGACUCCAGCCCCAAGGUUUCUGAAUAUGGACUGUUUAGCGUGUUCAUUUUUAAAUGACUGAAGUAGGCCAUGGCCUGUCAACCUCCAAACCUAGUUUAAAGAAAAAGUGUAA